CAACAUUUAUCCAAAUCACACAAGUUUACAUAUUAUCUUAUAGUUAGGUUCCUAUAACCUAUUAAUAAAUACAAUUUCAAAUGUAGUUAUUUUUUUGUAAUAUAUAAAUUUUAGAUACCUACUCAUGGGUACCUACUUGGAACUUUAGAAGUAGAUCUUAUGUCCUGUCCACAAAGGACAAAACCAAACAUAUAAUCUCAACUUUUCCCAACACAUGGACAAUAUCUAAAUUAUUUUUAAAAACAGAAGCAAAACAAAAAUCAUACUCUGUAUUGACCUGGCAUUAGGAGUUGUAUUAUAAAUAUUUAAUAAAUCGAUGCUGAGAACUAAGAAUCUAAGAAGUAAGAACUCAAAAUCAAAUCAUCAAAUCAAACAUUGAGGUGCGUUACCUAAAACCUAAACAUGGCGGACGUUAGUGGAACACAAAGUGAUCAUUUUAUAUUAGUCUAUUGACUUGAAAAAGUUAAGUGCGAUUUCAGUAGAAAAUUAGUGUAUGAUUUUAUUGAAAAUUAAUAUGCCUUAUGCCGUAUUAUACCUACCGCUGUUACUAUUUAGUAUUUUAUA
Long non-coding RNA from Acyrthosiphon pisum (pea aphid), 564 nucleotides. RefSeq lists it as uncharacterized. Lineage: Eukaryota; Metazoa; Arthropoda; Insecta; Hemiptera; Aphididae. The record is from RefSeq and is a predicted model, not a curated record. The transcript is spliced from 3 exons.